This is a long non-coding RNA of Lemur catta (Ring-tailed lemur), 170 nucleotides long. RefSeq lists it as uncharacterized. The transcript is spliced from 3 exons. The record is from RefSeq and is a predicted model, not a curated record. NCBI's taxonomy places the organism in Eukaryota, Metazoa, Chordata, Mammalia, Primates, Lemuridae.
GAAAAGGCAGGUGCAUUCCAAGAGGAAAGGCAGACGGCACUUCCACGAAUUCCAGUCAUCACUUGAACAGAGAUAGCCUUGAGCACGUGGAAUUUCUUCCAGUGCUGUUGUGCGAAUCUUUCGCCCACACCCUCGCUGAGACUCCCCUGCAUAAACAGCCCUGCCUACAA